GAUGAAGAACGUAGCGAAAUGCGAUAAUUAAUGUGAAUUGCAGAAUUUAGUGAAUCAUCGAGUCUUUGAACGCACAUUGCGCCUCAUGGUAUUCCGUGAGGCAUGCCUGUCUGAGCGUCAUUUGUACCCUCAAGCUUUGCUUGGUGUUGGGUGUUUGUCCCGCGUUGCGCGUGGACUCGCCUUAAAGCGAUUGGCAGCCGGCAUAUUGGCCUUGGAGCGCAGCACAUUUUGCGCUUCUAGUCAUGAAUGUUGGCGUCCAUUAAGCCUAUACAUUUGCUCUUGACCUCGGAUCAGGUAGGGAUACCCGCUGAACUUAAGCAUAUCAAUAAGCGGAGGA
RNAcentral lists this unclassified non-coding RNA (337 nucleotides) under soil metagenome. RNAcentral describes it as "partial contains 5.8S ribosomal RNA, internal transcribed spacer 2, and large subunit ribosomal RNA". The stretch from base 1 to 120 matches the Rfam family "5.8S ribosomal RNA", at positions 35 to 154 of the family's 154-position model. The record is from RNAcentral.